Molecule: ribosomal RNA, 605 nt
Filed under: uncultured archaeon
Lineage: Archaea
Description: bacterial SSU rRNA
Rfam family: Archaeal small subunit ribosomal RNA
Source: RNAcentral
UACGGGGCGCAGCAGGCGCGAAAACUUUACCAUGCGGGCAACCGUGAUAAGGAAACCCCGAGUGCCAGCACAGGCUGGCUGUCCGCCAGUUUAAAUAACUGGUGAAGAAAGGGCCGGGCAAGACCGGUGCCAGCCGCCGCGGUAAUACCGGCGGCUCGAGUGGUGGCCGCUAUUACUGGGCUUAAAGGGUCCGUAGCUUGAUAACUGGGUCCCUUGAGAAAUCCGCCAGCUUAACUGGCGGGCGUUCAGGGGAAACUUGUUUUCUAGGGACCGGGAGAGGUGAGGGGUACUGCCGGGGUAGGAGUGAAAUCCUGUAAUCCCGGUGGGACCACCUAUGGCGAAGGCAUCUCACCAGAACGGGUCCGACAGUGAGGGACGAAAGCUGGGGGAGCAAACCGGAUUAGAUACCCGGGUAGUCCCAGCCGUAAACGAUACUCGCUAGGUGUCGGCCACGGUGCGACCGUUGUCGGUGCCGUAGGGAAGCCGUGAAGCGAGCCACCUGGGAAGUACGGCCGCAAGGCUGAAACUUAAAGGAAUUGGCGGGGGAGCACCACAACGGGUGGAGCUUGCGGUUUAAUUGGAUUCAACGCCGGAAAUCUUACCGG